AUGAGUCAUCAUGAUGGCAUCAACAUCCCUGAUGGCAAGUUCUACCUAGGAGAUGUUGGCUAUGCAUGUCGGCUAGGUGUUCUUCCACCCUUCAGGAAAACUAGGUAAAAUCUAAAUGAGUACUCUGAUAGGAACUAUCCUAGGACUCCACAGGAGCUGCUCAAUCUCAGACACUCCAACCUUAGAGUAACAGUUAAGAGUGCAUUUGAAGUUACGAAGAACAGGUUCAAGAUCCUAGAUCAGAAGCCAUUCCACUCUUACCCUCCCCAUGUUAAGCUUGUUCUUAUAUGUUGCAUUCUGCAUAACUCGAUCCUGCAAUGGGGUGUUGAUGAACUUGUGCCGGAGGAGGAAGAUGUGACUCCUGAUGAGAUGAUCAGCUCCGGCCAUGGUGUGGAUGCAUUCGACGACAAAGCAUGGAAGAAUAGAAGGUUGGAGUGGGCUCAGGCAAUAUGGGAUAACAAAGGUGAGACAAGGAUCUGA
RNAcentral lists this ribosomal RNA (480 nucleotides) under Triticum aestivum (bread wheat). Its description in RNAcentral is "partial small subunit ribosomal RNA". The record is from RNAcentral. Lineage: Eukaryota; Viridiplantae; Streptophyta; Magnoliopsida; Poales; Poaceae.